ACAGGGAUUCCCCUAGUAACGGCGAGUGAAGCGGGAACAGCUCAAAUUUGAAAUCUGGCCCUCGGGUCCGAAUUGUAAUUUGUAGAGGAUGCUUUUGGUGAGGUACUUUCCGAGUUCCCUGGAACGGGACGCCUUAGAGGGUGAGAGCCCCGUACGGUUGGAUACCAAGCCUUUGUAAAGCUCCUUCGACGAGUCGAGUAGUUUGGGAAUGCUGCUCUAAAUGGGAGGUAAAUUUCUUCUAAAGCUAAAUACCGGCCAGAGACCGAUAGCGCACAAGUAGAGUGAUCGAAAGAUGAAAAGCACUUUGAAAAGAGGGUUAAAUAGCACGUGAAAUUGUUGAAAGGGAAGCGUUUAUGACCAGACUUUUUCCAGGCGGAUCAUCCGGUGUUCUCACCGGUGCACUUCGUCUGGUUGAGGCCAGCAUCGGUUUUCGUAGAGGGAUAAAAGCGGUAGGAAUGUGACUCCUUCGGGAGUGUUAUAGCCUGCCGUAUAAUACCUCUAUGGGGACCGAGGUUCGCGCUCUGCAAGGAUGCUGGCGUAAUGGUCAUCAACGACCCGUCUUGAAACACGGACCAAGGAGUCGAACAUUUGUGCGAGUGUUUGGGUGUUAAACCCUCACGCGUAAUGAAAGUGAACGGAGGUGAGAGCCCUUACGGGUGCAUCAUCGACCGAUCCUGAUGUUUUCGGAUGGAUUUGAGUAAGAGCAUAACUGUUCGGACCCGAAAGAUGGUGAACUAUGCGUGGAUAGGGUGAAGCCAGAGGAAACUCUGGUGGAGGCUCGCAGCGGUUCUGACGUGCAAAUCGAUCGUCAAAUCUGCGCAUGGGGGCGAAAGACUAAUCGAACCAUCUAGUAGCUGGUUACCGCCGAAGUUUCCCUCAGGAUAGCAGUGUUGUCUUCAGUUUUAUGAGGUAAAGCGAAUGAUUAGGGACUCGGGGGCGCUUUUUAGCCUUCAUCCAUUCUCAAACUUUAAAUAUGUAAGAAGCCCUUGUUACUUAAUUGAACGUGGGCAUUCGAAUGUACCAACACUAGUGGGCCAUUUUUGGUAAGCA
Molecule: ribosomal RNA, 1050 nt
Filed under: Porobeltraniella porosa
Lineage: Eukaryota; Fungi; Ascomycota; Sordariomycetes; Amphisphaeriales; Beltraniaceae
Description: eukaryotic LSU rRNA
Rfam family: Eukaryotic large subunit ribosomal RNA
Source: RNAcentral